AACCCCCCGCCGGAAAUCGGCUCAUUACAUAAGUCUUGGUUUAUUAGAUUUAUAUUGUCAUCAAAUGGAUAACUGUGGAAAAUCUAGAGCUAAUACAUGCCGCGAAACUUCGACUUGCGAAGGAGUGCUUUUAUUAGAUCAAAGCCAAUGGCCCACUUGUGGGUCUUAUACUGUGCUGAUUCUGAAUAAAGUAAGCUGAUUGCAUUGCCAUUGAGUAGGUGACGUAUCUUUCAAGUGUCUUCCCUAUCAACUUUCGUUGGUACUUUAUAUGACUACCAUGGUCGUAACGGGUGACGGGGAAUCAGGGUUCGAUUCCGGAGAGAGAGCAUGAGAAACGGCUGUCACAUCCAAGGAAGGCAGCAGGCGCGCAAAUUACCCAAUCCUAGAUCGGGGAGGUAGUGACGAAAAAUAACGAUGCCGUGAUCUUAGGAUUCGGCAAUUGGAAUGAGAACAAUCAAAAUCCUUUAUCGAGGAUCAAUUGGAGGGCAAGUUCUGGUGCCAGCAGCCGCGGUAAUUCCAGCUCGAAUAGCGUAUAUUAAAUUUGCUGCGGUUAAAAAGCUCGUAGUUGGUUGUCAGGAGAUGAACUAGGGGCUACCAAAAUUGUGUAGUCAUACCCGAGAUUCGCUCCUUUAAAUACCACUCCUAUGUGACGCACUUUGAUGUGUGCUGCGUAUGGAUGGUAUGAUACUACUUUGAGAAAAUUAGCGUGCUCAACGCAGGCGAUUCGCUUGUAUACUGUUGCAUGGAAUAAUGAGAAGGACCUCGGUUCUGUUUCGUUGGUUUCCGGAAGCUGAGGUAAUGAUUGAUAGGGAACAAACGGGGGCAUUCGUAUUGUGGUGUUAGAGGUGGAAUUUCUGGUGAUCAACCGCAAGACGAACAACUGGCGAAAGCAAUUUUGUCCAGAAUUGUUUUUCAUUUAAUUCCAAGGAAACGCGAAA
RNAcentral lists this ribosomal RNA (938 nucleotides) under Pallisentis sp. 7 NKG-2016. RNAcentral's name for it is "bacterial SSU rRNA". It matches the Rfam family "Eukaryotic small subunit ribosomal RNA", at positions 77 to 988 of the family's 1831-position model. Lineage: Eukaryota; Metazoa; Acanthocephala; Eoacanthocephala; Gyracanthocephala; Quadrigyridae. The record is from RNAcentral.